RNAcentral lists this ribosomal RNA (1761 nucleotides) under Triticum aestivum (bread wheat). Its description in RNAcentral is "partial small subunit ribosomal RNA". Lineage: Eukaryota; Viridiplantae; Streptophyta; Magnoliopsida; Poales; Poaceae. The record is from RNAcentral.
GGGGGUGGCUGGGAGACUAUUGAGAAGAAGAAGAAACUAGGGCAAACAUCUGGGAGGGGACAAUGGGCACCAUGGGGUUCAUCCUCAAAUGCUCCACCUACUACAGCACGUCAAGCUUGGAAUGGCAAUGGAUCUUCACGUCCUUCAGGAAACAAUUGGGCUCAACCUUCUGAUCGUAGGUCUCCUGCCAGAGGUAAUCCCAGGGCAUCAUCACAAACAAAGUCUACAGAGCCAGAAUUGCAAGCACAAAACCCAGCUGUGACUCCACCCCUGGCAAAUGGUUGGCAGUGGGCAUCCAGGCCUCGCGGCCCAUCUGGUCCUGAAAGCAGCAAGGAUGAUGUUGCUUCAUCUGGUUUAGACCCUGAGGCGAAUAAUCCUGAAGUUGAGGAUUCAUCAGAUGAUGAUAAUGAUGAUGAUAUGAGCGAUGACUAUGAUUCUGAUGCAUCUGAGAAAAGUUUUGAGACACGAAAAAUGAAUAAGUGGUUCAAGAGUUUUUUUGAAGUCAUCAAUACCUUAAGUGUCGAUCAGAUACAUGAGCACACUAGGCAAUGGCAUUGUCCGGCAUGCAAAAAUGGACCAGGAGCAAUUGACUGGUUCAAAGGCCUGCAAUCUUUGGUGACACAUGCUAGAACAAAGGGUUCUAAGAGGGUUAAGCUCCACAGGGAAUUGGCUGCAUUGCUUGAAGAGGAGAUGUCUCGCAGGGGAUCUUCUGUGGUACCAUCUGGUGAGCAAUUUGGGAAAUGGAAAGGAUUGCGAGAAAGCACUGACCGGGAGAUAGUAUGGCCACCAAUGGUCAUCGUGAUGAACACCCUACUUGAAAAAGAUGAAGAUGAUAAGUGGUUAGGUAUGGGCAACCAAGAACUUCUCGAGUAUUUCAGUGAUUAUGCUGCGACCAAAGCACGCCAUGCAUAUGGUCCAGGUGGGCACCGUGGCAUGAGUGUGCUAAUAUUUGAAAGCUCUGCUGUGGGCUAUAUGGAGGCAGAACGUCUUCAUAAGCAUUUUAUUGAUCAAAGAACAGACAGGGACACUUGGCAGAAUCGCAGGGUUCCUUUCUUACCUGGUGGGAAGAGACAAUUAUACGGUUUCCUAGCCAGAAAGGAAGACAUGGAGACUUUCAAUAGACACUGCCAAGGGAAAAGCCGCCUGAAAUACGAGAUGAGAUCUCAUAAUGAGAUGGUAGUGGCCCAGAUGAAGCAAAUGAGCGAAGAUAAUCAACAACUCAAUUAUCUGAAGAACAAGGUGGUUAAGACAGAGCAGCGCUCUAAAGUUGUAGAAGAAACCCUGGGUGUUAUUACGCAGAAACUUCGAGAGACUAUGGAAGAGAAUAUAUUCGUCAGGAGUAAAGCUAAAGAGAAGCACUCUGAGUAUGAGGAAGAGAUGAAAUCCCAGGAAAAAUUCUUCCAUGAUCAGAUAGAGAACAUUCACAAGGCCACAGAAGACAAGGAAAGCGAGUUUGAGAGGUUGCUGCAGGAGGAGCGUGCAAAGGCUAGACAGUGUGAUGUGGAUUCUGGGACUACUGAAAAUCGCAGGCUAAGGAAGGAACAGGUACAGCGGUUCAUAGAGUGCCAGGUUAAGGACGUGCAGGAGUUUGAGGCUGAAAGGGACGAAUUGAUAAAAGCGCACGAGGAGAAGAAGGUGCAGCUGAAGAAAGAGUACAUGGCAAAGGAGGUGGAGCUCGAGAAGGAGUUUGAUGCCGCUCUCACCGGUUUGAUGGAGAAACAUAGGCCAGGCACCUUCCAGGCCUCCAGCUCCAGGCCGUGA